This 498-nucleotide ribosomal RNA is filed under the name uncultured bacterium. RNAcentral describes it as "partial 16S ribosomal RNA". It matches the Rfam family "Bacterial small subunit ribosomal RNA", at positions 27 to 507 of the family's 1533-position model. The record is from RNAcentral.
GGAUGAACGCUGGCGGCGUGCCUAAUACAUGCAAGUCGAGCGAACAGACGAGGAGCUUGCUCCUCUGACGUUAGCGGCGGACGGGUGAGUAACACGUGGAUAACCUACCUAUAAGACUGGGAUAACUUCGGGAAGCCGGAGCUAAUACCGGAUAAUAUAUUGAACCGCAUGGUUCAAUAGUGAAAGACGGUUUUGCUGUCACUUAUAGAUGGAUCCGCGCCGCAUUAGCUAGUUGGUAAGGUAACGGCUUACCAAGGCGACGAUGCGUAGCCGACCUGAGAGGGUGAUCGGCCACACUGGAACUGAGACACGGUCCAGACUCCUACGGGAGGCAGCAGUAGGGAAUCUUCCGCAAUGGGCGAAAGCCUGACGGAGCAACGCCGCGUGAGUGAUGAAGGUCUUCGGAUCGUAAAACUCUGUUAUUAGGGAAGAACAAAUGUGUAAGUAACUAUGCACGUCUUGACGGUACCUAAUCAGAAAGCCACGGCUAACUACGUG